GCCCACGUAGCUCAGUGGAUAGAGCAUUCCCCUCCUAAGGGAAGGGUCGCAGGUUCGAUUCCUGCCGUGGGCGCCA
This 76-nucleotide transfer RNA is filed under the name Betaproteobacteria bacterium. Its description in RNAcentral is "tRNA-Arg". It matches the Rfam family "tRNA". Rfam says of the family: Transfer RNA (tRNA) molecules are approximately 80 nucleotides in length. Lineage: Bacteria; Pseudomonadati; Pseudomonadota; Betaproteobacteria. The record is from RNAcentral.